RNAcentral lists this ribosomal RNA (465 nucleotides) under Vreelandella stevensii. RNAcentral describes it as "partial 16S ribosomal RNA". It matches the Rfam family "Bacterial small subunit ribosomal RNA", at positions 338 to 795 of the family's 1533-position model. Lineage: Bacteria; Pseudomonadati; Pseudomonadota; Gammaproteobacteria; Oceanospirillales; Halomonadaceae. The record is from RNAcentral.
CCUACGGGGGGCAGCAGUGGGGAAUAUUGGACAAUGGGGGGAACCCUGAUCCAGCCAUGCCGCGUGUGUGAAGAAGGCCCUCGGGUUGUAAAGCACUUUCAGUGAGGAAGAACGCCUGGUGGUUAAUACCCAUCAGGAAAGACAUCACUCACAGAAGAAGCACCGGCUAACUCCGUGCCAGCAGCCGCGGUAAUACGGAGGGUGCGAGCGUUAAUCGGAAUUACUGGGCGUAAAGCGCGCGUAGGUGGCUUGAUAAGCCGGUUGUGAAAGCCCCGGGCUCAACCUCGGAACGGCAUCCGGAACUGUCAAGCUAGAGUGCAGGAGAGGAAGGUAGAAUUCCCGGUGUAGCGGUGAAAUGCGUAGAGAUCGGGAGGAAUACCAGUGGCGAAGGCGGCCUUCUGGACUGACACUGACACUGAGGUGCGAAAGCGUGGGUAGCAAACAGGAUUAGAUACCCUUGUAGUC